GGAGAUUUCGAUUCUCUCUAAUUCGUCGGGUCUGUCAGGCUGCGGAGCAGAAAAUUAAGCAGCAAUGGUGAUUAAGUGUGGUUGCCUGCUCGUUGAGAUUCGUGUGCAGAAAGCUAAUCGAAGCGACUCCCGCCUUAACAGCACGGCCGUGAAUUUGCUCGCCUAAU
This is a long non-coding RNA of Andrographis paniculata, 167 nucleotides long. RefSeq lists it as uncharacterized. The transcript is spliced from 2 exons. The record is from RefSeq and is a predicted model, not a curated record. Lineage: Eukaryota; Viridiplantae; Streptophyta; Magnoliopsida; Lamiales; Acanthaceae.